GAUGCCAGUACUUGACGAAUAAGCAUCGGCUAACUCCGUGCCAGCAGCCGCGGUAACACGGGGGAUGCGAGCGUUAUCCGGAUUUAUUGGGUUUAAAGGGCGCGUAGGCGGGAUGCCAAGUCAGCGGUAAAAGACUGCAGCUAAACUGUAGCACGCCGUUGAAACUGGUGACCUCGAGACGAGUCGAGGAUGGCGGAACAAGUGAAGUAGCGGUGAAAUGCUUAGAUAUCACUUGGAACCCCGAUAGCGAAGGCAGCUGUCCAGACUCGAUCUGACGCUGAUGCGCGAGAGCGUGGGUAGCGAACAGGAUUAGAUACCCUGGUAGUCCACGCCGUAAACGAUGCUCACUGGAUCUUGGCGAUACACUGUCAGGGUUCAAGCGAAAGUAUUAAGUGAGCCACCUGGGGAGUACGUCGGCAACGAUGAAACUCAAAGGAAUUGACGGGGGCCCGCACAAGCGGAGGAACAUGUGGUUUAAUUCGAUGAUACGCGAGGAACCUUACCUGGGUUUAAAUGUAGAGUGCAUGGGGUGGAAACAUCCCUUUCCCUCGGGACUCUUUACAAGGUGCUGCAUGGUUGUCGUCAGCUCGUGCCGUGAGGUGUCGGGUUAAGUCCCAUAACGAGCGCAACCCCUAUCGAUAGUUGCCACCGGGUAAUGCCGGGCACUCUAUCGAGACUGCCACCGUAAGGUGCGAGGAAGGCGGGGAUGACGUCAAAUCAGCACGGCCCUUACAUCCAGGGCUACACACGUGUUACAAUGGCCGGUACAGAGGGCCGCCACCCGGUGACGGGGCGCCAAUCUCUAAAGCCGGUCGUAGUUCGGACUGGAGUCUGCAACCCGACUCCACGAAGUUGGAUUCGCUAGUAAUCGCGCAUCAGCCAUGGCGCGGUGAAUACGUUCCCGGGCCUUGUACACACCGCCCGUCAAGCCAUGGAAGCCGGGAGUACCUGAAGAUCGUGACCGCGAGGAACGGGCUAGGGUAAUACCGGUAACUGGGGCUAAGUCGUAACAAGGUAGCCGUACCGGAAGGUGCGGCUG
This 1039-nucleotide ribosomal RNA is filed under the name Butyricimonas sp. Marseille-P3923. RNAcentral describes it as "bacterial SSU rRNA". It matches the Rfam family "Bacterial small subunit ribosomal RNA", at positions 468 to 1520 of the family's 1533-position model. The record is from RNAcentral. Lineage: Bacteria; Pseudomonadati; Bacteroidota; Bacteroidia; Bacteroidales; Odoribacteraceae.